UAGGGAAUAUUGCACAAUGGGGGAAACCCUGAUGCAGCGACGCCGCGUGAAGGAAGAAGUAUCUCGGUAUGUAAACUUCUAUCAGCAGGGAAGACAAUGACGGUACCUGACUAAGAAGCCCCGGCUAACUACGUGCCAGCAGCCGCGGUAAUACGUAGGGGGCAAGCGUUAUCCGGAUUUACUGGGUGUAAAGGGAGCGUAGACGGUAUGGCAAGUCUGAUGUGAAAGGCCGGGGCUCAACCCCGGGACUGCAUUGGAAACUGUCGGACUGGAGUGCCGGAGGGGUAAGCGGAAUUCCUAGUGUAGCGGUGAAAUGCGUAGAUAUUAGGAGGAACACCAGUGGCGAAGGCGGCUUACUGGACGGUAACUGACGUUGAGGCUCGAAAGCGUGGGGAGCAAACAGGAUUAGAUACC
RNAcentral lists this ribosomal RNA (414 nucleotides) under uncultured bacterium. RNAcentral's name for it is "bacterial SSU rRNA". It matches the Rfam family "Bacterial small subunit ribosomal RNA", at positions 355 to 786 of the family's 1533-position model. The record is from RNAcentral.